GACGAACGCUGGCGGCGUGCUUAACACAUGCAAGUCGAACGGAAAGGCCCUUCGGGGUACUCGAGUGGCGAACGGGUGAGUAACACGUGGGUGAUCUGCCCUGCACUUUGGGAUAAGCCUGGGAAACUGGGUCUAAUACCGAAUAGGACCACGCGCUUCAUGGUGUGUGUGGGAAGGCUUUUGCGGUGUGGGAUGGGCCCGCGGCCUAUCAGCUUGUUGGUGGGGUAAUGGCCUACCAAGGCGACGACGGGUAGCCGGCCUGAGAGGGUGACCGGCCACACUGGGACUGAGAUACGGCCCAGACUCCUACGGGAGGCAGCAGUGGGGAAUAUUGCACAAUGGGCGCAAGCCUGAUGCAGCGACGCCGCGUGAGGGAUGACGGCCUUCGGGUUGUAAACCUCUUUCAAUAGGGACGAAGCGCAAGUGACGGUACCUAUAGAAGAAGCACCGGCCAACUACGUG
Molecule: ribosomal RNA, 462 nt
Filed under: uncultured bacterium
Lineage: Bacteria
Description: partial 16S ribosomal RNA
Rfam family: Bacterial small subunit ribosomal RNA
Source: RNAcentral